GCCUGGUGUGGUCAUGCACACCUGUAAUCCCAGCUGCUCUGGAGGCUGAGGCAGGAGGAUCACAAGUUCGAGGUCAGACUGGACAAACUUAAUGAGACCCUGUCUCAG
Molecule: small RNA, 108 nt
Filed under: Marmota monax (woodchuck)
Lineage: Eukaryota; Metazoa; Chordata; Mammalia; Rodentia; Sciuridae
Source: RNAcentral